GAGGAAGAACGCAGCGAAAUGCGAUACUUGGUGUGAAUUGCAGAAUCCCGUGAACCAUCGAGUCUUUGAACGCAAGUUGCGCCCGAAGCCAUUAGGCCGAGGGCACGCCUGCCUGGGCGUCACACGUCGUUGCCCCCCCAUCUACUCCUUCGGGAUUGCGGGGGGCGGAUGAUGGCCUCCCGUGCGCCUCGCCGCGCGGUUGGCAUAAAUGCCAAGUCCUCGGCGACGCACGCCACGACAAUCGGUGGUUGCGAAACCUCGGUUGCCCGUCGUGUGCGGUCGUCGCGCAUCGAGGGCUCGAAAAAAUUGCCGGGUUCCGGCUCGGCUUUCAACGCGACCCCAGGUCAGGCGGGGUUACCCGCUGAAUUUAAGCAUAUCAAUAAGCGGAGGA
This 391-nucleotide unclassified non-coding RNA is filed under the name soil metagenome. Its description in RNAcentral is "partial contains 5.8S ribosomal RNA, internal transcribed spacer 2, and large subunit ribosomal RNA". The stretch from base 1 to 122 matches the Rfam family "5.8S ribosomal RNA", at positions 35 to 154 of the family's 154-position model. The record is from RNAcentral.